UACAGAGGUCUCAAGCGUUGUUCGGAUUCAUUGGGCGUAAAGGGCGCGUAGGCGGCGGGGUAAGUCUGGUGUGAAAUCUAGGAGCUCAACUCCUAAACUGCACUGGAUACUGCUCUGCUAGAGGACUGGAGAGGAGACUGGAAUUCACGGUGUAGCAGUGAAAUGCGUAGAGAUCAUGAGGAAGACCAGUGGCGAAGGCGGGUCUCUGGACAGUUCCUGACACUGAGACACGAAGGCCAGGGGAGCAAACGGG
RNAcentral lists this ribosomal RNA (253 nucleotides) under uncultured bacterium. Its description in RNAcentral is "partial 16S ribosomal RNA". It matches the Rfam family "Bacterial small subunit ribosomal RNA", at positions 524 to 776 of the family's 1533-position model. The record is from RNAcentral.